Columba livia (rock pigeon) is the source of this 1453-nucleotide long non-coding RNA. RefSeq lists it as uncharacterized. NCBI's taxonomy places the organism in Eukaryota, Metazoa, Chordata, Aves, Columbiformes, Columbidae. The transcript has 3 exons. The record is from RefSeq and is a predicted model, not a curated record.
AGAGCCUUGGCUGUUACACAUCAUAUCCCAGCCCACUUGGCAGCAUCUAUAUGAGACCAGGUUUGUAACUAUUGCACUAUUACCCUCCCUCCAGCUCCUUCUCUCCUCCUUUCUUUGCAGAGCAGUCUCCAGUCCAAAACAGAAGGAGAAUGUCAGGGAGAAAAAGAGCUUUCAGAGCAAUUUGGAUAAUCCUGUAAUGAAGGAAGAAUAAAGGAAGGAUAGAGAGAUGAGAAGCAAUGCUAUUUAGCACAAAGAUGGAGCAGAUGAGAGCUGGAAGUAGGAUAUAGUCUGCUGAGCAUCUCCUUGCCCUGAUCCUACUGAGAUGGCACCUGAAUCCAGUUCUGCUGGUGUGAACUUCAUCAAGAUGGUCAGGCUAACCUGAGAAACAACAGCUGAGUGCAGCUUAGCCAAAAUAUUUAAAUAACUCAGUAUUUCUCUGCCCACAAAGGGUCCUACUAGUAAAUGAUGCUUGCACCUUAUACACAUAUGAACUAUGUCAGAGCUUAAUUAGUCUAUUUUCCAGCAGUUCAGUGCAUAAAGGUUUGUAACACAAUGCCCCCCUGUAAUAUUUGUUUACUUCUAAACUAAGUGGACCUUUCCCAAAAAAUAUUCUUGCAUGGAUAACACAAUUUUUCAAAUGCCUUAUCAGCUAGAGCCUAAAGGAGAAAUGCAAUCCCUCUUAUGCAGUUCUGGUAUUUUCUUCACUGUUUCAUCCAGGACUGUAAGGAAAAGCAAUGAUACAGAAUGAGAGAUCAACUGAAGAACCAUUUUCAGCAAUGCAUGCCAGAUGGCUGAAUCAAGAACAAACUGAACUGAAGCUACAGAGUGACUUGAAAAUCAAAGAGCCAAAGGAAAAGGCAGGUCCCAAAGGUUGCUCCUCUGUGGAAGGACAUUUGCCAAAGUCUGAGCAACUAGGACUGCAGGAUGAAAGCUACCAAUAAUCUAAUUUAAUUUCUCUGAAGACAAAUGUUCAAAGACUCAGGAUACACAGAUCCUAAAGUAAAACAAAGCAAUGAACAGUCCAAGGGGAGGAUACUUUGCAAAGUUCUGGUAUUGGUUAUACAGUAUAAAUCCAAAAUAAGUCCACUGACUUUGUUCUUCGUGUCAUUAAAUCUACAUACCUGAAACUAUUCAGGCCUUUUGAGGUUUUUUGUUUGUUUUCUUUGUGGGGGCAUUAUGGUGUGUGUGUGUGGUUUGUUUUGUUUUGUCUUGUUGUUGUUUUUUGGGUUUUUUUUGUUUUUGUUUGGUGUGUUGGGCUUUUGUUGUCUUGUUGUUGUUGGUUUUUUGUUGUUGUUUUGUUUGGGGUUUUUUUGGUUUUUUGUCCUUUUUUUUCCCUAGAUUGACAAAAUGACUUGCAGUCAUUUGGACCUCAUUCUGCUUUUACAGAGACUGGUUUGUAUGAUGAGCAAAAGCAUUCAGUGAUCUGGGUCCUGAAUUUACGGACCAAGAACGA